UGAGUUGUGGCUCAGACACUACAACAGAGCUCCGUCAUCUCUUUCUAAAAGCUGGGAAAUGGUUAUUGUCAACGCCAGCCCCAUUUUGGAGGCACCUGGCUGCAGGGGACCACAGCUAGCUGGGUGCGGUGGCUCAGGACUGUAAUUCCAGCUCCAUGAGAGGAUUGCUUGAGGCCAGGAGUUUGAGACCAGCCUGAACAACAUAAUAGACUGGGAGCUCCAUGAGGUCCGAGACAACCAGAAGACUCCCAGCUCAGCAGAGACUGGCUAUGGCAAUCAGUAACUAUUUGUUGAAUAGGACAUAAUAGAAGAGCUGAAGAAUUUUAAACAAGUCACCACCAGUCCAGUGGAUUCCUCAAAGCAAACCUGUAAAUCUCGGCAUGAGUUGGAUUUAAGGCAGUACAUUUUCAGCUCCUGAAAAUUUGAACAGUUUCUCAAGAGAACAACUUGAAACAGAAAGGCAAGGAUGUAGAUGUGGUUGUAGAAGGUGAUGUCUAAGGCCACCAAACUGUCCACUGUGAAGAUAAACCGUGCAUGUUUAGUAGGAGGUGGCUCCCCUUCCCUGUGGGGAGUCCCACUGCUUCCCUGGCCUGGGUGUUCUCUGCUGGUAGAUGUUAUUGACAAAAUAAGCAAAGUCCUCUGAUUCUGAGAAUUAGAGUUUAUGAUUGCUCUAGAUUGCCUCUGCCAUGCUAUUUAAAGUCCUGCUUUAUUGUCUGACAUGAGCUCGGCAUCUAUGAGGACUUGUCCAGUGCACAAAGUACAAUCGCCACUGAAAGAUAUCACCAGCACAUCUUGUCACUGUGCUGUAGCGAGCUGGGCAGUACAAUGAUGUUGGCAGGAUCCUGUUUAGGUGGAGGAUGGCCACCUGGGCAUCAAGAAUCUUCUACCUUGAUUCCACAUUGAUUCCCCAAAGUGGGCUUCAGACAGCUCUUCACUUACGUCUUCUGAUUAAAGCAGCAGACGGGGUCCCAGCUAGAGAAAAGUUCUGGGAGCAGGAGAGGUGUUGGUGGCUUUAAAACCAGGGGUGAAGAUUGAAUUAGGAGGUUAGGCAGGAGUAGGAUCAAAGGCUUAGAAAAUGCUUGUUUCCUUCUAUUAUUCUUAUGAGAGCUGAUAAGGGGCUUUCAGUUUUGGGGGAGAACCUUGGAAGAGAAUGAGGGAAUUUAAUCAACUAGCGGGACCUUUCCAAUUUAUAUUUCCCAGUGUUUAUUGGAUGAUACGUUUGCCUAAUAAGUUAAAGCUUCCAAAAAUAGAAAGGAAAGCUUGGUGACACUAAGCUCUGGCAUGCUGUCAUCUUCUGGCUAGGGGUCUUGUGCUUCUGUUUUUCUAUUUCUGACCAAGGACAUAAAAUGUGUUGUGACCUCUCAGAUAAUGCUAUGGUAUCAUGCCCAAACAGUAACUAACCAGAGUGGAGUUUUUACAGGUAAAAAAGUAUUGAAUAGCUCAGCAACAGGGAGGAUUUCAUGAUAAAUUGCUUUUUCAGAAAAUGACAAGGGGACAGACACUUGCGGUUCUUCCAUUGAGAGCCUUAAGGAAGUUAAGCGAACUCUGCUCACCCCUUCAAGUAAUGAUGACCCAUCAGAUUGUGGUCAUAACCAGUAGCAUCUGAGCCACCCCUAACCUCUCUGGGCCCCAGAUUCCUUGUUAAGUUAAAUGAGGUGACUUCCCAGCUUACCAUUCUAGGGGUUCCUGAGGAGUUAAAAAUGAAGGAGAAAAUGCAACAUGUACCAAGUGAGCAAGAGCUCAAGGCUUAUCUCUGGCACGAAAGUGACCGCUAUCCAUUAGAGAGGUGCUUGCUCUAGAUUUCCUUUAGGAAAUGCAAACAUUGAAUUCUGACCUUCAGGACCCAAGCCCCAGCUUGCAUCUAUUCUAUACACUUUCUGUUAUUUGUUAGGGCUCACAAGGAACAGCUAUUUUUUUUAGAGAUGGAGUCUCACUCUGUCUUUAUUCUGCCUACCACACUCAUCUUUUCUUUCAUCUGUCUCCCAGGCUGGAGUGCAGUGGUGCCAUCUCAGCUCACUGCAAUCUCCACCUCCUGGGUUCAAGCAAUUCUCCUGUCUCAGCCUCCUGAGUAUCUAGGACUACAGGCGUGUGCCAUCAUGCCCGGCUAAUUUUUAGUAUUUUUAGUAGAGGCGGGGUUUCCACCAUAUUGGCCAGGCUGGUCUCGAACUCCUGAUCUCAAGUGAUCUACCCUCCUUGGCCUCCCAAAGUGCUGGAAUUACAGAUGUGAGCGACCACACCCGGCCCAUUUGUUUUCUUUCAAACCCUUCUGUAAGACCAGUGCUUUAGGUGAACACGUGGACAGAACAAGAUCAUCACUAUUUUGCAAUAUGAAGACCAACUGCACUGUGACCAUAAAAAAACAGAGGCAAAAUAUUGAGCUUAAUGAUACAUUUUUAUAAUUUGUAUUUGGUGUUUUUCAAUUUUCCAUUGGAUAGUUUGAGAGAUAAGUACAAGCCAAUGACAUGUUCUCUUUCCUACCCUAUUGUCUAAUCCUGCUAACACGCACACACACACUGAUUACCUAAUUCAUCUGUUCCCCGAUUAUUACACUCUCAAUUGCUGCAGAGUCUCAGAAGGAGCAUGGUGUAACAGAAAGAAUAUGAGGCUUAGAAUCCAAAGCCAGAGUGUGAAUUCCAGCUCCACUGACUUGCUGCGUGACUUGAAGCAAGUCAUUAAGUGUCUCUGUUUACUCAUUUUAUUACUUUCCUAUUGCCUCUGUAAUAUAGCACCACAAACUUGUGGACUUAAAACAACAUGCGUUUAUUCCCUUAGCAUUCUGGAGGUCAGGAGUCUGAUAUCAAUUUCACUGGGCUAAAAUCAAGAUGUUGGUAGGACCAAGAUCCCCGUGGAGGCUCUGGGAGAACCCAUUUCUUUGCCUUUGCCAGCUUCUAAUGCUGCAUUCCUUGCGUUCCUUGAUUGUUGACCUCUUCCCCCAUCUUCAAAGCCAGCAUAGCAGCACCUUGUUUCAUUGCCUUCUUUCAUGUCAAAUCUCCCUCUGCCUCCUUCUUAUAAGAACACUUGUGGUUGCAUUUAGAGGCUAUGAUGAUAAUCCAGAAUAAUAUCUUUAUCUCAAGAUCUUUGGCUUAGUCUCUUCUGCAAAGUCUCUUUUGCCACAGAGGGAAACAUUCACAGGUCCCAGGGGUCAGGCUGUGUACAUCUUUGGGGGACUUUAUUCUGCCUACCACACUCAUCUUUUCUUUUUUUUUUUUAGAUGGAGUCCUGCUCUGUCACCCAGGCUGGAAUGCAGUGGCAUGAUCUCGGCUCACUGCAACUUCUGCCUCCCUGGUUCAAGCAAUUCUCCUGCUUCAACCUCCCAAGUAGCUGGAAUUACAGGCGCCUGCCACCACGCCCGGCUAAUUUUUGUACUUUUGGUAGAGAUGGGGUUUCACUAUGUUGGCCUGGCUGGUCUUGAACUCCUGACCUCAGGUGAUUCCCCCACCUUGGCCUCCCAAAGUGCUGAGAUUACAGACGUGAGCCACCAUGCCCGGCCCCACACUCAUCUAUUAAGUAGAGCUAGGAAUUCCUAUCCUAAGGGACACGAAAAUGAAAAAAGAUAAAAUUUGUGAAGAGGCACAUAAUGAAAGCCCAUACAUGUCGCUGAGUUCGGAGGAGGGUGGGUCUGACCUCCCAUUGGCUGGUCUCUGCCUGAUGGACAUCGUAAAGAAGAGAGCCAGGACUAGCGUGGCUGGGGGAUGUUCAGGGGCCAGAGUGGCUUCAGGUGCCAGCAGCCCUGGCCGAAGGAUGACUCCAGGAGCAAGGCUCAGAGCCAAGUGGAAGAAGCUUCAAUAAACGGCACCUGAGCCAAGCAUGAUGGGGUGUGCCUGUGGUUCCAGCUACUCGGGAGGCAGGUGGGAGGAUGGCUUGAGUCAGAAGUUCGAGGCUGCAGUGAGCUAUGAUCACACUACUGUACUCCAGCCUGGGUGACAGAAUGACACGCUGUCUCUAAAAAGAAAAGGCAGCUGGAUGCUCAUGACCGAGAUAGGGUGGGGUGGGUCGGGUGGGACAGCCUCACUUUAUAACUUUGCUUUCAGUAUGAUGUGGAUUAGUGUCUCCCACGUGGGAAAAUUAUGUUUACCACUUAGCUGAUAGUGCUUGGUUACCCCAUAACGCUGGACGGUGGCAGGCUUAACUCCCCCAUCAAGGGCCUUAAUGUAUUUGGGGCCCUAGUCCUAGCAACAGCAGCAAAUCUCCUUUUUCUUUUCCUCAAGCUGGUUGUUCACCAGGCAGUUGGGAUGUUACAUGGGAAGAGAAGACACACACAAGUCCCUUGUUUUCAAUAAGGCAGUCUGGUCACGUACUUAGCAGGUUAUUAAUCUUUUUCAAACCCCUCCUCUCCACCAAGUUUUAUGAUCCUGGGAAUGAGAUUCCUCCCCAGCAUCCUUAGAGUUAUCGGGGGUUAGGAUCAGUGCGUGUAGCCACUUCCCUGGAAUCAUCAGUAGCCCUCCAGCCUCUGGGGGAGAGCUGCCAGUGGUCAGAGAUGUUGGGAAUUACAAGGGAGAAGCUAGGGAGAAGGAACUCACAGUCCCUCAGUCUCUGAAGGUGGCUCCUGGCAGGAGAAGCCAGGAGAGGGGGCCAGUCCUAGAUAAGAGCUCUCCCAGGGAAUUCCAAGCAUCCUCCAAGGUCCAGUCACAACAUGAGGAAUUACUGUUGGGCUCUUGCUCAGAUGUGCCUGUAAAUUCAUAUCACAGAUGCUGGAUGCAUUUGACAAUUGUUUAAUUGCUUGAGCCCAACUGAUACUCUUUCAGUCACUUUAAGGGAGUGAUUUCAAGUAUGAUCAUUGCCUCAAAUCUGUAUGGCUUUCCUUGCCUUUCAGGUGCUUUAAGAGGACUUAUGUUCUUUGACUCCCCUAGUAACUCAAGAGGGUGGCUAAGAUGCAAUUCUGGAGGUUUCCAAGCUCUCUGCAAAGCCUGCCUUCAGUAGUCUGUGCACCAUAAGAAGCAUAACUUUAUUAUUCUCUAGCUGAAUUUACCUCCUGCUUCAAGCCCCUGUUUUCCCAUGUCAUUUUAGGGGUCCCAUGUUUUCCCUGGAGGCAUAUAUAUAUAUAUAUAUAUAUACAUAUAUAUACACACAUAUAUAUGUAUGUAUAUAUAUAUAUAUAUAUAUACACAAAUUCCAGGGGCCUCUGAGGUGCCAAGACAUGUGUGGGGUCCAUCUGGUUCACACUGAUGUCCAUGAUCAUUGAGUUCCUUUUUUAUAUCAACUAUGUGACACUUCUUAUAGUUUCCAGUUCCUGGUUAGAAUUUGCAAACUUGUUGACUAUUUCUUUGAAUAGAGUAGUUAGAUCAUGGGUCUACACGGGUCAUCAAGGAGCGAUUUCCCUGUUGGAAGCUCCAAGCAAAUUGUCAGCUCUAGCAUUCCACACAUCUCUGGGCGCCACACUCCUUUUUCCUUUUAAAAGAUCAUGAUCUGCUAGUGGUGAAUGCUCUUGGGGUUUUAUUUGCAGGUUUUUCUUCUUGUCACAAAUGUCUAUAUUUCAUCUUCACUCUUGAGGGAUAUUUUCCAUGGGUAGAGGAUCUAGGCUUUUCUUUUGGAUUCCAUUGUGGCUUUAAAAAAAAGUCAGUUGACUGUUUAUUUAUGGCUUCUUUAAAGGUGAUCUCUUUCUUCCUAAGGCUGUUUUAAAAGUUUUCCUUCCCUCCCUCCCUUCCUCCCACCCCAUCCCCCUUCUUCCUUUCCUUCCUCCCUCCCUUCCUCCCUUCUCUUCCUCCCUUUCUCCCAACCUCCCUUCCUCCCUCUUUCCUUCUUUUUUCCUUCCUCCCACCCUCCUUCCUUCUUCCAUCAUUAUAUAUUAAAAUAUUUUCUUUCUUUCUUUUUUUUUUUUUUGAGAUGAGUUUCGCUCUUGUUGCCCAGGCUGGAGUGCAAUGGUGUGAUCUUGGCUUACUGCAACCUCCACCUCCCUGGUUCAAGCGAUUCACCUGCCUCAGCCUCCCUAGUAGCUGGGAUUACAGGUGCCUGCCACCACACCCAGCUAAUUUUUGUAAUUUUAGUAGAGAUGGGGUUUCACCAUGUUGGCCAGGCUGGUCUUGAACUCCUGAACUCAGGUAACCCACCUGCCUUGGCCUCCCAAAGUGCUGGGAUUACAGGCGUGAGCCACCACUCCCAGCCUAUUAAAAUAUUUUCUUCUGGGCCUUCCCUCCUUUUACUUCUUUUGAUACCGCCAUCAAAUGCAUGUUAGGUUGACUCACUGUGUACUCUAUUACCCUCUCUUCUGGUUUUUAAUCUUUCUGUCUCCUUAUACUGUAAUCUCAGUGUUUCUUCUGCUUUAAUUUUGGUAUAUGAAAUAUUCAGCUGUGUUCAAAGUGUGGUUAAAGCUACUUAUAUGCUCUUUAAUUUUUAGUUAUUGUACUUUUCACCUCUAGAAGUUCUUCUGAGUUCCUUUUUUAUAUCAACUAUGUGACACUUCUUAUAGUUUCCAGUUCCUGGUUAGAAUUUGCAAACGUGUUGACUAUUUCUUUGAAUAGAGUAGCUAGAAUUGUUUUAGUCCGUGUAUAGUGAGUUGAAUAUCUGAAACCUCUGUGAGUCUGUUUCUUUUGUCUGCUAGCCCUACUCAUGGCGUCAUGUUUUCCUGGAUGUUUGGUUGGUUGUCUUUGAAUAUGUCCAACUCCAGUUAUUUCUGGGAAUACCCAAAGGCACACCUGUUCACUAUCACCUGGUGAAUUGCCAUGUGUUUGUCUCCUGUCAUGGUAACAUUUGCAUUCAGGGAGAGGCCUCUGCUAUCUGCAGAACUGUGUGAAAUCACCUCAUUUUUGCCUUCAAUGAAGGUUGUCUCUUGCUGGUCACCGCCACUUCCUCAAAUGACUAAUGCCACUCUUGCUCACAGUGCUAAGGCACUAAGGAGUUUUCAGAGGGCUAGAGUGAUUCUGCGUCCUCUGAGGUUCUCAGGAAACGAGGCCACAGGGCCAUCUGUGCGUGAGUGACAGUGGGGUGGGGUGGAUGGGCAGUGGCAGUGGUGGGCACCUAUGCUGCUGGUGCCACAGCUUUUUAUAUCUUGGUGAAAGCAACGCCUUGCGUUUUCACUUGUAGAUUCUCCGGCUACAUUCCACAAGAACAAAUUCUGGUCACAGAGGCCGGAGUAGACUAUCAGUGUAAUGGCCCUUCCCCUUUGAUGAUAGUAGCUUUUUUCGGGGGAGCAGGGGUGGCCAAACUUCUUAGCCUUAUUUUCUCUUCCUUUCUAGUUCUCCCCAGAGGCUGCUGGGUUCACCUCUCCCUCUGCCAGACAGACAGGCUCAGACAUGCGAGAACGGAAGGGGGUGUGGGGGUGGGUGGGAGGAUUAAGCUGGGGAGAGCCAGUCUUGUCUUUGUAGAUUACCAGAACUGACACAUGUACACACAUGUACACUCACUCACUCACUCACUCACUCACUCAUCUAUUCAUCUAUUUUUGGCCUAAGUGCCUUUGGACCCUUCUUCGGAAAAGCACAUGAACUCUUUGGAGUCUCCCGUUCCACUUGGUAAAUUUCCUAUAGCCACACACUGAAAGUCCCUGCUGCCCUCCUUCCUCUGAGCUUGUGGGGCCCACAGAUCCCCUGCUCCACUUCCUGCUUUAUUUCAGCUGAUGGUGAGUCCGGGGCAGGCUUGUAGAAGGGUGGGCUGGGCGCGGGGAACUGCAGCACCCACCCCACCCCCUGCCCCAGUGCUUGUUGCCCCAGCCUCUGUCUCCCUCGCUGUGCCCUUCCCUUAAGCCCCACUCUUAGCCUCCCCAAAGACAGAGUUUGUUCUGUUUUUAUUGAUAGGAUGACACUCCCUCGUUCUAAUACCAUCUGAAUGCCUGAGCAAUUACAUCUUACAAUCUCAUGAAAAACACAGCAGCUUGUCACGAUGAAUGAUGUUACCGUGAAUAAUGCAGUUUUGAGUUCAAACUCCUUCUUAUUCCAAGAAUGAGUAAAUAUCCCUAUUCCCUCCCCUCCCCAUUGCAUUUGGGUUUGACAUGACAUGAAUCAUUGUGGUUUUACUCCUGGGUAGAAUUGUUUUUCUGUUUUGCAUUGCCAACCAAUGGAAGGACAAAAAAAGGAAACUUACCAACGAGCAGUUUCAGAUGAACUUAAAUUCUCAGAAAUCUUGAAGAAUGAAUGAACUACAACUUUUUGGAGUUGCAAAAAUGUUCAAGUCGGAAGUGACCCAUGGGAAGCAACCUGGUCCUUAACUAGGACUGGAAAGAAAACGGAGGCCCAGCGAGGGAACAGUGGCUUCCCCAAGGUCACACUGCAAGUGAGUGGUGGCACUAGUCACCCAGGAGUCCUCUUGACUCCACGGUAUCCUGACCCCAGACCGGCAGCCUUAUUUGUGGUUAAAGAACGUGGAAAAACAGCUUAUGUUUGAAUUUUAAAAUCAUGCCAGUCCUGAAGAUCUGCAUUCCAUGAAUAUUGAGCUUUGCUGUGUGCAGGUUGCUAUGAAUUUUGUAACUAUUUUCUCUAAGAGCUCUCAGUAUUUUACAUAUACAAUUCCAUUCUUUACUGUCCAGGGAAAAAGUUGCAUUUACUGAGCAGUAAGAGGGUGAUUUGAAGUCCCUGGGGACCCCUGCCCUUGUCUUUCUAUGUGAGAUUGUAUUGCAGGGCUCACAUUUAUUCUCUCAGCAGCUCAUUGCACAGACAGUGUAUUUAUUGAGCACCUACUGUGUGCCAGGAGCUAUGUGGUAAGCUAAGCAGGCAAAAACUCCUGCUCUCACAAGAAGAAAGAAUAAACAAACAGACAAUUGCA
Molecule: non-coding RNA, 8694 nt
Filed under: Pongo abelii (Sumatran orangutan)
Lineage: Eukaryota; Metazoa; Chordata; Mammalia; Primates; Hominidae
Source: RNAcentral